AUGACGACGUCGGGCGGCGACAACUACCAGGAAGGAGGGCCCAAGAGGGUCUGGUACUCUGUCCACGCGUUCUCAUUCUCGUUGAACGCGGCCUCACGGUCCGUCAGGAUCAUGAGCGGCGCCACCAGCACCAGGAAGCUCGUCCCCGCGAUCCACGCCGCCUUCCCCGUGCUCCGCGUCAGCUUCCAGGCCACCGUCCCCGCCUGGCGCCCCACCUCCGCCGCGCACGAGCACGCCUGGCGCCCCGUCUCCGCCGCGGUCGAGCACGCCGGCCCAGCGGCCGCCGCCAGCUUCCGCCCCUGGUCCGCCACCGACGACGCAACGGCCGUCCACGUCGUCAUCGCCGACUCCAUGUGA
Molecule: ribosomal RNA, 357 nt
Filed under: Triticum aestivum (bread wheat)
Lineage: Eukaryota; Viridiplantae; Streptophyta; Magnoliopsida; Poales; Poaceae
Description: partial small subunit ribosomal RNA
Source: RNAcentral